This 72-nucleotide transfer RNA is filed under the name Pachyphlegyas modiglianii. Its description in RNAcentral is "tRNA-Met". Lineage: Eukaryota; Metazoa; Arthropoda; Insecta; Hemiptera; Pachygronthidae. The record is from RNAcentral.
AGAAAAGUAAGCUAAAUUAAGCUAAUAGGCUCAUACCCUAUUUAUAGAAGUAAAAAAAUCUUCUCUUCUCUA